GGAGUAGUGAUAUGGUUGUGUGAAAGAUUAAGGGAUGGAUGUGUGAGUAGAAGGGGGAAUAAGGUGAAAGGGGGAAUGGGUGAUUAAAUGAGUUAUGGUUGGUUGGAUGUUAGGGAGAGUUAGAUGGAUAAGUGUGGUAAUUGUAGAGGUAAUAGAUGAAGGUGGUGGGGGGAGGAGUGAUGGAAGGGGGGGUUUUAUUAGAAGAAAAGGAAUGGGUGGGGUGGUGGGUGGGUUGGGUUGGUGAGUGUGAAUAAGUUUGGGGUGAUGGGAGGGUGGGAGGAGGGGGGAGGGAUGUUUGAAAUGUGUGGGUUAUGAAGUUUGGAUGGUAGGUUGUGGGGGUAGGAUGGUUGUAAGGGGUGAGGGGGAAUGAGGGUUGGAUUGGGGAGAGGGAGGGUGAGAAAGGGGUAGGAGAUGGAAGGAAGGGAGGAGGGGGGGAAAUUAGGGAGUGGGGGGAGGGGGAGGUAGUGAGGAAAAAUAAGGAUACGGGAGUGAUGGGAGGGGGGGUAAUGGGAAUGAGAAGAGUUUAAAUGGUUUAAGGAGGAUGUAUUGGAGGGGAAGUGUGGUGGGAGGAGGGGGGGUAAUUGGAGGUGGAAUAGGGUAUAU
This 603-nucleotide ribosomal RNA is filed under the name Tanypteryx hageni. RNAcentral's name for it is "partial 18S ribosomal RNA". The record is from RNAcentral. Lineage: Eukaryota; Metazoa; Arthropoda; Insecta; Odonata; Petaluridae.